Molecule: small nucleolar RNA, 68 nt
Filed under: Stylonychia lemnae
Lineage: Eukaryota; Ciliophora; Spirotrichea; Sporadotrichida; Oxytrichidae
Description: Small nucleolar RNA U31b
Rfam family: Small nucleolar RNA U31b
Source: Rfam by way of RNAcentral
GGCUGUGAUGAUAUACAUUGUCGCCCCAGUCCUAUUCAUAUAUGAGGAUUGACACUUGUGUCUGAACA